CGGGACCACCUCCUGGCCCUGGACGCCCCGCUGGGCCGCGUGGUCGCGGCGCAGCGCCUCAGAUCCGCCAUC
This 72-nucleotide transfer RNA is filed under the name Streptomyces sp. W007. Its description in RNAcentral is "tRNA-Val". Lineage: Bacteria; Bacillati; Actinomycetota; Actinomycetes; Kitasatosporales; Streptomycetaceae. The record is from RNAcentral.